GAAUAUGGGGGGACCAUCCUCCAAGGCUAAAUACUCCUGACUGACCGAUAGUGAACCAGUACCGUGAGGGAAAGGCGAAAAGAACCCCGGCGAGGGGAGUGAAAAAGAACCUGAAACCGUGUACGUACAAGCAGUGGGAGCCCCACCACCAAAGCAUUCUCUGGUGUUGAAGGCCCUGCAAAGCAGCAUCGCGGUGGCGGAGCGUCGUUUGCGACGCCCAACACACAAAACAAGCGGUGAGUGCUUUGGGGUGGGGUGACUGCGUACCUUUUGUAUAAUGGGUCAGCGACUUAUAUUCUGUAGCAAGGUUAACCGMAUAGGGGAGCCGGAGGGAAACCGAGUCUUAAUUGGGCGUUAAGUUGCAGGGUAUAGACCCGAAACCCGGUGAUCUAGCCAUGGGCAGGUUGAAGGUUGGGUAACACUAACUGGAGGACCGAACCGACUAAUGUUGAAAAAUUAGCGGAUGACCUGUGGCUGGGGGUGAAAGGCCAAUCAAAC
Molecule: ribosomal RNA, 498 nt
Filed under: Salmonella enterica
Lineage: Bacteria; Pseudomonadati; Pseudomonadota; Gammaproteobacteria; Enterobacterales; Enterobacteriaceae
Description: partial 23S ribosomal RNA
Source: RNAcentral